AGUUAAAAUUUUCAUCUAUUUCUAUUGUUGAAAACUGGCGUGAUUUAUAAAAUCAGUAAACAAUUACACUUUACAUACUGCGUGUAUCUCAUGUCGACAUAUAUAGAUCAAUUUUCAAUAUUAGAAACAAAUAAAAUUUUUAACA
Molecule: non-coding RNA, 145 nt
Organism: Gossypium hirsutum (cotton)
Lineage: Eukaryota; Viridiplantae; Streptophyta; Magnoliopsida; Malvales; Malvaceae
Source: Rfam